This 470-nucleotide ribosomal RNA is filed under the name uncultured bacterium. RNAcentral's name for it is "bacterial SSU rRNA". It matches the Rfam family "Bacterial small subunit ribosomal RNA", at positions 28 to 506 of the family's 1533-position model. The record is from RNAcentral.
GAUAAACGCUGGCGGCGCACAUAAGACAUGCAAGUCGAACGGACUUAACUCAUUCUUUACGAUUGAGAGCGGUUAGUGGCGGACUGGUGAGUAACACGUAAGCAACCUGCCUAUCAGAGGGGAAUAACAGUGAGAAAUCAUUGCUAAUACCGCAUAUGCUAACAGUAUCGCAUGAUACAGUUAGGAAAGGAGCAAUCCGCUGAUAGAUGGGCUUGCGUCUGAUUAGAUAGUUGGUGAGGUAACGGCUCACCAAGUCGACGAUCAGUAGCCGGACUGAGAGGUUGAACGGCCACAUUGGGACUGAGACACGGCCCAGACUCCUACGGGAGGCAGCAGUGGGGAAUAUUGCGCAAUGGAGGAAACUCUGAUGCAGCGAUGCCGCGUGAGGGAAGAAGGUUUUCGGAUUGUAAACCUCUGUCUUCAGGGACGAUAAUGACGGUACCUGAGGAGGAAGCUCCGGCUAACUACGU